AACACACAUGCGCUUUUGAUCAAAUCGUGCUCCUCUUCUUAGAAUUUUUUCUUUCUUUGAUCUUUUUAAUUGAUGCUGGGCAUCAGGGUGAAGCGCAACCCUCCUCCCCCCCGGCCCCGCCUCUCCGAGGUCGGCGUCCGCCAGUGACCCAAGUGGGGAUGCGAGAGCAGAGCAAGUUCCCGUGGACGUACUCGGCCAAGGAGAUAUGCUACCCUGCUGCAGGGGAAGGUGAAGAUGUACCCGGAGGGCCACGGGGAGGAGUUCGUGGAGAUCGCGGCGGGGGACCUGGUUGUCCUCCCCAAGGGCAUGAGCUGGACCUGGGACGUCGCCGAGAUCUACUAACAUGAGGUUUACAUCAAGGCAUUCUCAAAGAUGACUCCAGUCAUCAAGGCAUCCAACAUUGGGAAGCUUGUGAAAAAUAUCUGGAAUUGUGACUUGAUGUUCGGGUGUGAAGUCCUUGAUGCAGGUUGCUGUUUAUAUAUGUGAAGAAUGUGGUUUUGAGAUAUACCAGGAAGUGACUGCUAGAUUCUUUAUGCAUCUCUUUGAAUGCCCAUCACAAUGAUGCAGGCUGAACUAAGCAAAGGGGAAUCUAAUGCUUCAAGUGGGGCAUCAAUUUUUUUGAAAUUUCAGGAGGUAAUAGCCUUUCUUCACAAUCUGGUCAAGCAUGGCUAUCUUUCUUCAGAAUGUGCCGGAGCCGGAGCUGCACUGCCGCUGGCCAACGGAUACUUCAGCGCCGACAUCGGGCAGCUUGUGAAAAAUAUCUGGAAAAUAAAAAUGCAAAUCAAUUAAUGCCUAGCCAACACAACAGAACAGAAUACCAUAAACAAAUUUAUGUAAGGAAUGAGCUAGUGAGCUUCAUAUUGCUUAUAGGUGGGAAGGCAAUUUGGGGAGGGAUCUGUAUUUUGAUGUCAGGUUGAUCAUUGUUUGGUAUCAAUGAACUGAGAUUGUACAAAAAUUAGCAUACCUUACUUUUAAGUAGCCUUGAGAAUACCAAGUUUGAACAUGUUUAUUUUUUUAAAAAAAAAUGACCAGGGCAAGUUGUUAACUCUGAUGGGAUUUCGUAGUCAGAUUAGGUUAGGUACUUUAGCUCAUAUGAAACACAUGUCUAAAGCUCUCAUGAAUUCACUAAGAAUGUAAGUUGUGAGCUACACUGAAAUACUCAACUUACAUGCUAGCUACAAGCUACAGUUUCAAGGGGAAUAAAAUAUUGCAACUUUAUGUGUUCACGAUUUUUUCUAAGGGAUCUUGGAAGUUAUAUCCUUGCAUGAACCAAAAAUGUUUUCUAAUGUUCUAAGUUUGGAAUGAUAAGAGUAAAUUUGUUUACAAUGAUCACUUGGUUCCAAACAUGAACCAUAUGCAAGUUAACUCUGAUGGGAUUUCGUAGUCAGAUUAAGUUAGGUACUUUAGCUCAUAUGAAACACAUGUGUGAAGCUCUCAUGAAUUCACUAAGAAUGUAAGUUGUGAGCUACACUGAAAUAUAUAGACUUACAGACUAGCUACAAGCUACGACAGUUGCAAGGGAAAUAAAAGAUUACAACUUCUGUGUUCACAAUUUUUUUUCUUUCUAAAGGAUCCUAUAAGUUAUAUCCUUGCAUGAACCAAAAAUGUUUUCUGAUGUUCUAAGUUUGGGAUGAUAAGAGUAAAUUUGUUUACAAUUAUCACUUGGUUCCAAACACGAACCAUAAAAGUUUUAUGAAGUUCCAAGUUUGGGAUGAUACAUAUUUGAGUAAGUUUGUUUACUAUUAUACUGUCAUUUAGAUCUCAUUUCAAAGCCCAUUUUGUAACCUGAUUUUAAUUUGGGAUAUAGAAAUGUAUUGAAUUGCCAUGUAAUCGAGGAAUAAUUUUACUUUCUUUGUCACAUCCUUAAGAUGUAUUAACCUUAUGCACUACAAUGGUGCAAUUUACAGCAGGCUCAACUUUAAGUGCAUGGGUGUACCAUCAUAAUUAUCUGAGAGUAUUCAUCGAAGAAAAUUUUCAGUGAAUAUAUUUUUAAUCUGGAUUUGCAUACCAAUAAAAGACAAGAAUCACUUUAUUAAUGAUUUCACUACAUUGAUAUGAUAAGAUUCUGUCGAGCCUAUAUUUGUCAACAUAGAACUUGCCCAGUCACUAUUGAAGUAUCGUUCUUUUGAGUUUUGAGAAAGCACGCCGUGUCGCAGGCAACGCAGGAGGUGGUGUCAUGGAUAUGGCUCACCACCGCGGAUGAGUUCAGGGCCGCCGUGGACACCGCCAAGACAGCCUUCCCCGGGUGGCGGAGCACGCCCGUCACGAUGCGACAGCACAUCAUGUUCAAGUUCCAGGAGCUCAUCCACAACUGUUUUCUUCCCCAAAAAAAAUGAAACAAAAAAAAGUCUAAAUGUCCCCUGAAUCCACGACCUUAGUUUAUAAAUGUUAUAGGUACAUAACACAUGUUAUAGGUACAAAAUUCGUCAUUACUCCUGAAAAUCUUUCUUAUAGAUGGUUGUCAGUCACUAUUUGUACAGUAUCAAACGUGGUCUCGUAUUUCCCAUAUCAUUCAGAUUGCAUGACAAGUCAAUGUUCCCACUGAUUUAUUUAUUGUAGUCCAAAAUACUUUUCUCGUA
This is an RNA transcript of Phragmites australis (common reed), 2579 nucleotides long. It is a transcript of the gene named methylmalonate-semialdehyde dehydrogenase [acylating], mitochondrial-like, with no coding region annotated. NCBI's taxonomy places the organism in Eukaryota, Viridiplantae, Streptophyta, Magnoliopsida, Poales, Poaceae. The record is from RefSeq and is a predicted model, not a curated record. The transcript is spliced from 4 exons.